CCCCUCACGCGUCCUCCGUCGGCCAUGGCGGCAUAUAAGCGGACCAAAGACAAGAAAAGGCGGAGACUUCUCUCGCCCGACUCCCUUUGCUUCCCCUCUCCACCUUCCCCCGCUCCCCUCGAUCGAUCUGCGCACGCCAGCCGCCGUCGCCGGAUCCCCUCCAGCAGCGCCCGUCCCCCUUCUCCCCCGAAUCCGCCGGAGCCCAGCGGACGCCGGCCAUGAGCACCUCCGAGUACGACUACCUCUUCAAGCUGCUCCUCAUCGGCGACUCCUCCGUCGGCAAGUCCUGCCUCCUCCUCCGCUUCGCCGACGACGCGUACGUCGACACCUACAUCAGUACCAUCGGCGUUGAUUUCAAAAUCCGGACCGUCGAGCUCGAUGGCAAGUCGGUGAAGCUGCAGAUUUGGGACACAGCAGGCCAGGAAAGGUUCAGGACAAUAACAAGCAGUUACUACCGCGGAGCGCAUGGAAUCAUUAUCGUAUAUGAUGUGACAGAUAGGGAAAGCUUCAACAACGUCAAGCAGUGGUUGAGUGAGAUUGAUAGGUAUGCCAGUGACAGUGUGUGCAAGCUUCUAGUCGGGAACAAAUGUGAUUUGGUUGAUAGUAAGGUCGUCGAUACAGAAGAGGCCAAGGCUUUUGCAGAAUCGUUGGGAAUGAAUUUUCUUGAGACAAGUGCAAAGGAAGCCAUCAAUGUGGAGACAGCUUUCUUAACCAUGUCAUCAGAAAUCAAGAACAAGAUGGCGAGCCAACCAACGGCGGAGAGGAAAUCGACGGUCCAUGUUCACAUGAAAGGGCAGCCCAUACAGCAGCAGAACAGCAGCUGCUGCUCAUAAGCUCAGCAAGGCACCAUUCAUACACCUCAUGACAUCCGGUUGUGAGUUGUUGGAGGCUGGAAAAUUCACCAUCAAAGGCUGGAGAAGGCGGUGAAUUGGAUAUACUGAACACAGAACUUGUAUACAAUAGAACUUGUGUUACUACUUACUACUGUUUAAUAUACCCGUCACAGUUUGAGCUUGUUAUGCAAUCUCACUAGUCAUUACUUCGUCAGUGUUUUAGGCGCAUUUUAUGGAUCUUAGGUGGCAAAAAUUGUAUGAAAAUGUGAGCUUGUCAAUCAUCCUGUUAUCUUUCAGAAAGGAUCAUAUUGUUGCUGAGAAUAUGGUUAAUUCAAGCUUGUCAAUCAUCA
Molecule: ribosomal RNA, 1183 nt
Filed under: Triticum aestivum (bread wheat)
Lineage: Eukaryota; Viridiplantae; Streptophyta; Magnoliopsida; Poales; Poaceae
Description: partial small subunit ribosomal RNA
Source: RNAcentral